Kogia breviceps (pygmy sperm whale) is the source of this 1477-nucleotide non-coding RNA. NCBI's taxonomy places the organism in Eukaryota, Metazoa, Chordata, Mammalia, Artiodactyla, Physeteridae. The record is from RefSeq and is a predicted model, not a curated record.
AAUAAGUGGGAAGCUUUGUGCGAGCAGACCUUGAUUCCCGCGACAGUAGCUUGCUUUCCAUUUCUACCCCAGCGAUCCAAUGUUCUGCAGAAAUGGGACCGAGGCAACUUGCUGCCUGUCCGAAAAGGAGCCCUGCAUUGUAGCGCAAGACUGACGAGUCUGGUGCCUCUUCCAGAGACUCGCAGAAUCCGCCUAUAGAACUGUGGAUUAUUGCAGUUUGAACUGACCCCCUAGGACAACUAGAAGCGCUAGCCAGAAGCGUUUGUCAUGGGAUGCUUUAAUGCUUUGAAAAUUGUUCUUAACUGUGUUCUUCAGCGAACUGGAUAAGGAGACAGUAAGAUUGUUUAUUGAUUAUUUCCAUCAACAUUGCUUGGCAUAGUUGGCAGGAUAUCAGAAAAACCCGUCAGAGGUUAUCUGGAGUCUAUACUGGACCAGCGCCUUGGUACCAAGCACAGCCUCUUGAGCCCCCCUGGCUUCACAGAACCCUUCAGGUGCUUUGGCUCACAUGAAAGGGACUGAACCUGAGUAUUAGGGAAAUACCCUAGUUGACUUUCAUACAAAGACAACAACAGGAACUUCCCUGGUGGUCCAGUGGUUAAGAUUCCCCGCUCCCAAUGCAGGGGGCCUGGGUCAGGGAACUAGAUCCCGGGUGCUGCAACGAAGAUCCCACAGGCAACAAUGAAGAUACUGCAUGCCACAGCUAAGACCUGGUGCAGCCAAAUAAAUAAAUAAAUAUUUUAAAAAACAAAACCAAAGACAACACCAACAGAAUCUGUAAAGAUUAUGGCACGUGUAGAUGAAGUCCAUUCUGUUGUUUUUGUUUGUUUGUUCUUUCAUUCUGUUUUUGCAAAAAUUUACCCCUCAUUGUCACACUUUUGCCAUCCUGAUGUCCUGGUAACAUGGCAAGAGUCUGCUCCUAGAUCAGAGAAAUUAAGAUGGGUAAACAACAGCUGUGAAUUAAACAGUCAAGGCUAUGGGAAACCCAAAACAGCUUGGCUCUUCUUGGCUCCCUGGCCAACCCCAUCUUUUUGUAUGAAGGUUAAAGCCUGCCCUUGCUGCAAGCUGAUGCCCUCACAAUGAAAAAGAAACUUAGAAAAUGUGUUUUCCACUUGGGGUAUAGUUCUACAGUCUCCAGUGAUCAAGGCACCCACUUACUGGGCAAAUCAACAAAAAGCUCACAAACUUCUUGAAAUUAUCACUGUCAAUACUAUCACCCUCAAUCAUCAGGCAAUGUGGACAGAACUAAUGGAAAAAAACUGGACUCAAGUAGAACAAAAAUUAAUAUAUGGCUUUGAAUGAACUGAUAAAUAUGAUUGUAAUUUUACAACUUUUUGUCUGAAAUAUUACUAGCUUUUAAUCUUUGUUGUCCAGAUGCAAGGGAAAUUUUCGCCUUAAGCUAAUUAUGACUUACAGCAAUUUAGUAAAUUAUACCCUUGUUAAAAGAAUCGAAGCAUUUAUCUUUUUUCUCUACCUGAUC